AAUCCUAGACUUGUCCCAUACUAAAAUAAGAUCUUUACCACAAUCUCUUUAUGGGUUGUCGCAACUGCAAAGACUCUUUCUGAGAGGCUGUAAACUCUUCAUGGAGUUGCCACCUGAAGUCGGAGAACUCAGUAAUCUUAAGAUGUUUGAUCUCGAGGGGACUGAAAUCAUAAGGCUACCUAUGGAUGUUGGAAAAUUGACAAAUUUAACCUGCUUGAAAAUGUCGUUUUAUGGGGAUAAUGACAACAAAAAAGAUAACCAAUACUCAAACAGGAUAAUUCCUCAGAGUGUGAUGUCCAAUCUAUCUCAAUUGGAAUAAUUAAUCAUAGAUGUGAAUCCCGAUGAUAAGCAAUGGAAUGCCAAUGUGAAAGAUUGUAGAGGAAGUGUGCAGCUUAAACCGGUUGGAGGCUCUUCAACUUUACUUUCCAGAAGUUUCACUUUUGAAUAACUUGAUGGAUGGAUCAUCAAUAAACCUCCCAGGAAUGCACUUUAGAUUUACUGUUGGUAACCAUAUGAAUCGCAUAAUAUCUCGACUACCACUUGAAGCUGCAGUUAAAUUUGAAGAACAAGAAAGAUGCUUGAAAUAUGUGAAUGGUGAAGGUGUCCCAACUGAAAUUAAGGAGCUACUCUAGCUUGCUACUGCAUUGUUCCUGGAUCGCCAUUUAACUGCCACAAGUUUAUCUGAGUUUGGGAUUAAAAAUAUGGGGAAUCUAAAAUUUUGUGUAUUAGGUGAAUGUGAUGAGAUUCAAACCAUUAUAGAUGCAUAUGAUGGAAGAGAUGUUGUACUUGGAUCACUAGAGUACUUGAAUCUUCAUUAUAUGAAGAAUUUAAGGAGCAUUUGGAAGGGGCCACUUAUAUUGGGUUCCCUAUCACAUCUAAAAGCUUUGGUGUGGUAUACAUGCCCCCAAUUGACUACCAUUUUUACUUUGAAUCUGUUUCCUAAACUCUAUGAGUUAGAGGAGCUUGUAGUUGAUGAUUGCCCCAAAAUUGAAAGCAUAGUAGUGACUCCUGAUCCUACUGCUACUGAACCAAUGUUGUGGAGGGCAAGGUAUUUAUUCCCAAAGUUGAGGAAGAUAUCACUUCAUUACAUGCCUAAACUGGUCAGCAUUUCCAAUGGUCUACGCAUUUCACCAAUAUUAGAAUGGAUGAGCUUCUAUGAUUGUCCAAGCCUCAAAACUCUUUCCCCAGAGGAAGUUCACAGUAAUGAUUUGAAGGUGAUAAUAGGAGAGGCAAAAUGGUGGAGAGAAUUGAACUGGAACAAAUCAAAAUGGCCUCAGCUACCCAAUCUGGAUGCUAUCUUUCAUCCAAUUGAACAGGACACUUAUUUCAUUACACGUCUAGCAGAAAUUGACGAUCAACUUCAAGCUAGGAUGCAAGAAACAGAGCUUUCUCAACAGUCAGGUUGUUUUUCCAUUCCUCUUUUUCUUCAAAGAUAAAACACUGAUCUCCAUUUUAUCUUACCUAAACUUGGUCAGGUUAUUUUGUUUUGACAUGACUUCUUUAGUUUCAGGAUAAGCUAUGCCUACAUAGACAUUUGAAUGAAGCAGAAAUUCCCCACAACAUUUGUAUUACCUACGUCCAAGUUUCUUAUUCAGCUCUCUCAUUUUUGGUUUUUUUUCUUGUUGAUGAGGGACAGGUCCUGGUGACUCCCUGAAGGCUCCAGCAGUCAAGGGUGGAACAAGCUCAAAGCAGAAGCAAGUUGCUUAGUUUUACCUAUUCUGUACUAGUUAAGCUUGAGCUACGUAUUAUGGCUAAUUUCCCGACAGCGGCUUACUGUCUUAUUCGUUGUUGUUUGUUUAGUUAUUUCAUGUUGUGCUUGGUUGUGGAGAAAAGGAAACUCAGAACCUUACAGAGACAUUCUUUGGAUUAUCAAACCUUACUUUUCUAGUCUCUUUGAAUAAGUGGUGAUGUGAACUUGCUGUAUGCUCUUGAAUUCAAUAUUCGAAAUCACAUCCUUCAGUUUGAUGUGUACUUAUUGUUUGGUCUGAUCAGCAACUGCUUGAGCCUUUAGCAAAGAAUUACUUAUCAAAUUUGAAUUUUCAAGAGGGACAGAGUAGGUUAGAGGAGGGAGCAGUUCAGUUGCAGCUACAUCAAAACUAAUUUAUAUAUGUGCUUUGGUAGAUAUAAGAUCUGCUUGUACUAAAUUCUAGUAGUUGAUUGCUAAUGUUAAUGGUGUGAGGAAAAUUGUGAUUAAAGUUAAUUUUUUUCUUUCUUUCUUUCACUUUUUCUUUCCUUUAACUUUUCCUCUCUAUGUUCUUAGAUUCCCUCAUAUUUUUUCUUAAAUUUUUUGAAAACCGAACAUAGCCUUAGAGGAGCUAUUAAAGAUCUAAAGGACGUUUCAUGAUUGAGUUAGUAGAAAUUGGUAAUCAAGUUCAUGCUUUGGAGUCAAUAAACAUAUGAUAAACAUGUACAAUUUUCUUUGACUAUCAAAUACUUUGAUGUUAUCUUCAUUUGAGUGGUUUGAUAUAUCCACUCGUACUUCAUAACCCAUUUUCACAUAAAUAAAUAGUAAAAAAAUAAAAUAAAAUGCAAGAGAAAGCUCACAUGUGUGGCAAGCUAUCAUACAUACAUGCAUGUUUUACCUAUGAUCAUACUAUCUCUUGAACAAGCAUUCGAUGAAUCCAUCAAGCAUCACCUAUGCCUUAUCAAAAGGAUUUGUUGAGAAUAUUUACUUAAGAUGAAGAAAUCCACAAAUCUUGCUAAGUUUUAUGUAUGAAUUUUAGCUUUGAUCUUCACUUUAGAGCAUGCCUUUGAUGUAGAAGAGUUUAGCCACUAAUGGAGAACUUAGUCAUCAUUCACCUUGUUUGGUAACCAAGAAAAUGGUAGAAAAUAAUGGAAAGUAGAGAAAAAAAGGGAAAAUCUAAAUUCAAAAAUUGAAAACUCAACAUGAUUGUCUUUAGAAUGUUCCAAAAAAAAAAAACAAUAAAUAAAAACUUCACAUUUCUAACAACCAAGCCUAAGUGUGGACCCCGCAUUUCGAUCGCUCGAAUGCGUUUCUCACUCGAUGGCGAAACUCGAUUUUUAUUUUGAAAAAUUGAUUUUUAUUUUAUUUAUUAGAAAAUGACUUGGAGUCGCCACUUAUUUUUGUUUUAUUUUUUUAAAGGGUAAACAAAAUAAGAAAGAAAAACCCUAAGUGUGACUCCUUAUUUUGGAAAAGACGGCCUGUGAAAAACCGGAUCGGGUUCGGGGGUCAGGUUACUUAUCGGGAAGGUACGGUAAAAACCGUAGCACCCCUCUAAGUCCCUAAAGUCGGGUCUCUACUAAUGAGAUGAAGCUAACGUGGCAAUGAUGAGGAAAUCAAUGAGUACUCAGCAUGAUCGCACAUAUGAGAAUCAGUACAUGCAUGGAGAAUUACAAGAAUGGGAGUGGACACGUACCUAGGUGACAAGCCGCCAUACGCUAUCAAGAAAUAGGGUUAGAGCACAGUUAAGAAAUAAUCUCAUGCAUGUCACAGAUCAGAAUAAAUCAAUCAUGCAUGGCAAUCAAAUCAAUCAAUCAGUCAAUCAAUCAUGAAGUCAAGUAUGUAGGGCCCCCACCAAAGCCUGUUCAUUUUUGCAUGAAUUAAUUCCAUAAAUACCAUUAUUUGGAAUUACGGAAUUUAAUUCUUACUUAUUUUAAAAACAUUUGAAAAAACAAAGAAAAUGCAAAAGUGGCUUGCCGAAAAGAAAAUGGCAACCAAAUUUUAUUGAAAAUGAGAUUUUGAAACCUAAAAACCAUAAAGAUGAAAAAUGAGAGAGUUGGAAUUAUUUGAAAAGCUAAAUUUGAGGAGAUAUUUGCAAAAUGUGAUUUGGAGCAAUUAUUUUUCAAAAACAGAGAUGAGAAGACAGGAGAUUAUAUGCAGCCCAAAGAUGAUCAUUUCAGGCCCUUCAGAGUAUGCCUUUAGGGACUCUGAUUUGAGAAACUGAAGCUGCAUCUGUAAACCAUGGUUGCCAGCACUGACACCCUCAAGGCAUUCAGAGUCGGAUGAAAUCUCUCCUUUGAAUGAUAAUUCCGAAAUGGAAACUGGGCUUGGCUAAUAAGCCUCCUCUAAGCUCAUAAAAGAUUAAGGGUUUGUUCCGGUGCAGCGUGAGGAAACUGAACCUCCACCGGAGGAUCCAAUUGAUGCUUCUUCUAGAAUUGGAGCCAUUGAGUCACAGCCUAGCAGAAUCUCCAUCUCUCACCAACAAGAUGUCGGCUAUUGGUUUGGACUGCUGCUUAUUGGUGGUUCCAAACGACAAGCCAAUAUCCUCAGUUUCAAAAUCAGCCGCAAUGUUGGCAACGACACCUCAGGAACCCCAUAACUUUGUUCAGACAGAUUAUUCUCCUCAAUUUUGUGCUUCAGUUCACUCAAGAUCACACAAACUUCUUGUGCAGCACAACUAUUUCUCUGAAUCCAAGAAAGGGAUGGACGUAGACUUCUGAGAGCCUAGUCUUGAGUUUCUGGGUCCUGAACGUACUUGCAACCUCCUUGAUGUUUUUGUAAGCUCAUCUUUUACACUUCCCGGAACAAGUCGGCGAAGAGCAAUGCAAGGAUGAUGGGAUAGGCCUGACUCCUGAAGCUUCUAGAACUGAGUCUUCCCACUUGAGAUUCUGAAAACAGUCUCCUCUGAGAAAGGAGUUAACCAAAGCUGAAGGAAACGGUUUGAGGUGUUUCGGCUGAUGAUGAAGGUUGGGUACUGAUGGAAAUGAUACGAAAGAUAACAAAUAAGGUUGGUGAUGGAUAUCAGGGGGCAUGAAGAGCGAACAGUGGCGUCAUUCCUAUGUAUACGGGUAAGAAAUGGGUAAGAAAUAGGCAUUGACAGAUGAGGGUCUAAAGAAAGGACAUAGGUGUAAUGAUACGGCUAGGGAAAGUGGAAGUGGGUAUGAAUUAUGGCUGUUCUAGCAGACUUUUCAAACCGUCGUCCAAAUGAGUUUGCAAAAGGUGGUGAAUUCAAAACAUCCAUGCAAUGAAUAGUUGACUGAGAAGUUCACAAAAGAGGCGAAGUGAGUUCCACGAGUCCUAAGGAUCUACUGGCCUUCCACUCAAAUCAACAUGUGUCCCAUCCAUAGCAUCACCACAGGUUGGAUCAGGAUAAUGCAACAUCAAACGUCCCGAACUAUCAGUAGUUGUUGCACUAGUAUAAACUCAGGCAGCUACCCCAUCUUCUCUUCUGAACCGUAGUCGACUGGACUCGACUCUCGGCCGUGACAAUUGCGUUCGCCGCUGCGUUCAUGGUCUCUACGCUAUUAUUCACACUUAUCAUCUUCCUUAUAAGUCACAAAAUCCCCAUAUUCUCAACUCAAACCUCCUCCGGCACUGAAACUUCUAAUUCCGGCUAUUUGUGCUUAAAACUCACUAUAAGAAGCAGCAAGUUUUCCGACGAGAUUCCGAUAUGGAGCUGUGAGUCCGAAGAGAACCAUUCUGCUUUCUGGUUUGGAGAGUUUUUGGUCGGAUUCGUCAUGGGUAAGAGCAUCCACAGCAACAUUAUUAGGAUUAACAAUCCCAUUCACCGCCCCGAUACAACCCAUACUGACCAUAAACCUACUGGCCAGAGAUUCAACGCCGUCCCCAUCUCUCAUUACAUAGCUCAUCAAAUAAUUGCAGUCUAGAUCCACUUGAGACUCGUCUUUAUGAAUUACAGAAGCUCCAAAGUUACGUCCAAUGCUACGCGUAAGCUGGUGGCACAACCUCUUUAUGGAACAGAGGAUGAUGAUCUUAAAAUCCCGUUCUUGGGAUCUGUGAGUCUGUUCCAAGCGACUGCUGAUGGAUUGACACUCAACCAUAGCACUUGAGGGACCCCCCACAUGGCGUAAAGUAGUCCACUUCCAGUCUGUUGCACCUCUAAAUUAUGGGGUUCCGCAAAUUCAGCUUGUAAAUUCAGCUAGCUCAGUCUCCUCAAAUCCUGGGUUGACUUGUAAAGCCUCUUCAACUUUUUCAUAUGUUUCAGUGACUAGAUUACCUUGCUCUUUCAUUUGAACGGCUCCAACCUCUAACUCCUUGAUAGGCCACUGCAAAUUUUAGUGACUUUUCUUCACCAGAUAUGCACUGCCCGCAAUAUCCACUUGUGAAUCUGUGAAGUUACCAAACGCAAGAGACCCUAUUCAUUUGAUUCUCAAAACCCAUAAGACAUACCCGCCAGCACAUGAGGAUUAGGAAUUGGUUUCAUCAAGCAUCUCUGCUUCUUCAGGCUGGCACUUUUCCAAACAGCCAUGCGCAUUUGCUUGGAUCACAACUGUCGAACAUUCCGAGCAUUAAGCUAUGUGCUUACAAAUAUGACAUGAGGGAAAUUCCUCCACCAUCCAUACAUGUACUAACAGCAAACAGUAGCAUCCUCGGUACCCAUACAUUAAUACUUGACCCUCAAAUCUGAAGGAUAUUCUGAAUAUGAAGCGGGUUGUUUCCUUAUGAGCUUUCCGGUCUUCUCAUGCCAUGAGGAAGAAUUAUUUAAACGGUGGUCAGGGGAAUGAGUUCAUAGGGUGAUGAAAUAAAUGGGUUUGGGGAAAAUGAAUGAGGAACGGGUUAGAUGGCAUUGGGUUUGGUGGAUGAAGCAUGGAAGAUAAGAUAGUGUAUGAUAGACAGCCGUGCAUGCAUGAGACUCCACGUACGUGACAAGAUCGAAGGCAAGCGGGUGAUGAGAGAAUGAUACAAAGGGUAAUGGAAAGUGAUGAAGGAAAGUGGGUUCAAUGAUAAAACGGCUGCAGCAAGGGGCAUAUUGAGUGAGUGAGAGUGAUGACAUAGUGCAUGGUGGUGUAGAGAGAGAAAGUAGAUUAUUGGUGAUGGGUAUGAGGGCAUGAGGACUGAUCAAUGGGCAUGACGAGGUCAGAUAGGUGGAGCCACGCUGGUGAAAUUGUAAUGGACAACAUCCUGCUUAUCCAAGCACUUCAUCUUGCCAAUGGUGGGUGUUAAUGAACCUUAGGUAAUUGGAGCUCACAUCAAACAUAGUCACCAAUGCUGUGGUUGCCAUUGACGUUCCCUGUAGCUUUCACCUUCUUGUUAAUUUCUGCAUGCCUAAUUCCAUCAUUAUCAACCUUGAAAUCGUGCUUCCUCUCAAUGCCUAUGUUGUCUUAAUUUUCAAGACACGAUAGCAAGAUCAUUGGAUACUUCAAUCACGACAGUUGGGUGGGCACUUGCAGAACUAGAGAGCUUGGAGUACCCGGACAGGGGUGUGAAAGAAACCUUGAGACUCCAACCAGUGGUUCCUCAACUCAUCCCUCAUAAGUCCCUGGAAGACUGUACAAUCAAUGGCUUCCACAUCUCUCAAAAGUCCCGAGUCAUGGUAAGCGUAUAUGCCAUAGGGCAAGACCUUAAUGUAUGGACUGACACAGAGAAGUCCUUCCCUAAAAGGUUCAUUGGAAGCAGUAUAGAUCUCCAUGGAUGCAACUUCGAACUCAUCCCAUUUGGCUCAGAUAGAAGAGAAUACCCAGGAAACGUAGUGAAAAUUCUCCAUGUUGGCUUAAUGAAGUUGAAAGCCAGCUGAAAACUAAGACUCCACACAUUCACCGAGAUUUUUGAACAAACAUCAUGCUGCUCUCCUUAGUAACUAACACACUCAAAGACCAUCAAUGUGCUGAUUUGCUUUCUAAAGAAUGAUCAAUAUUUUCUCUGCCCCCUCGUAUUAUCAACUUGCUGCAUUUCUCUGAUUCCUCUUACUGCUUUACCAAAAGCCUUCGUUUAUAACAUAGUGAUCCAGAAACCUUCCCCAUCAUUCACCUUUGCAUUGACCAAACUUUCCUUACUUCAGUUUAGAAUCACCAUUAUCAUGGAAUAGCAUUCCUCUUCGGGCAGAGAUGGGAAAUCUGAGGCAUGACAGGGAUGGGUACCAGGAACAGGGGAAGGUGGAGAAACAGAGCAUAAAAUAAAAUGAGUAAAUAAAGGAAGCCUCAGAAAAUUCACUUCAUAGGUCAUCAGUGAAUCCUCCGAGCAGGUGAGUAAGACAACCAGGGGCAUGAUUCCUGGGCAUUUCAUCAACACCAUAGAGACACAGCAAAUUCAAAAUGGACAAUGGCAAGCAUGAAUGCAGGGUUACAUCUCAACAAACAAAUUGGUGGCCUUCAUUACCCACCCAAACAACAUAGUGAUGCGUAAAACAAUAGCAGCCUGAGGAAAUUAAACAGUGAAUAACUAAAAACGUGAGGAUGGUAAUAUCCAUACCUGAGUUCUUCAAGAUGAUGAUGAUCCAGUUUCUGCCCUCUCCUCAAAUGGCAGAAGAGGCGUCCUCUCCAACUUCAAAAAAACAAUGGAAUCUCUCCUCUCCUCAAAUCUCUCUGAAUCCUUCUUUUUUUCUUCUCACUCAAAAGCUCUCUGCAGCCCCCCCAAAAACCAGCUUUUUCCUUCCCUUUACCCCAAAAUAACCAAACAAAAGCUCCUCCUCUCUAAAAGAUCUCUGCAGUCCCCUCUAAAAGCAACCACCUCCUACCUGCAGGAGACGCUCCUCCUCUAACAGAAACGCACUCCUCCAAUAACAGACUCUGAAUCCCCUGCAUAUCCUCCAAUAGCUGUUACUUUCUCAUUCGUCCAUCAGCUCCACUAAGCUGAUUCCACAGCCACCAACCAGGAGGCAACACUUGGCUUUCAAAGAGCCCUCCAGCUGGCAAGUGAGCUGCAAAAAAUGAAAGAAAAAAAAAGUGCCCCUAAUAGGGGUCUACACUAAGUGUUCAAACUUGGUCAAAAAAAUUAUACCAAAUAUCAUAUCUCACUAGUUUGAGCUAACAAUAGGCAAAAAAAUGUCUGGUAUCAAAAUGCUCUAAUACCACUAUACAGAUUUCGAUAGCAUCUCAACAAUCAUCUUCAGAAUCCAAGCAAGCCUUCCAUUAAGAACUUCAAUUUUUCUCCGACUUCAUAUGUAAAAUUUGGGAAAUAGCAUCAUUCAAAGGGAUUGCAUGUUCAUCACUUUGUCCUACCUUCCAAACCUCAUACUUUGAAGCACCUGCAUUAAUUUCACUCCAACGCCUCAAUAAUGGCAAUGAAAAUGGCCCAGGUCUCUCACCAAGAGGACUUAGACAGUGUCAUGCUUCACUUUCAAGCUUAGAUGACCUUUGUUUCUUACUUGCAACCUUGAGACUCUUCUCAUCAUAACCAUCAUCUCUCAUCCUAGAUUGGUUAUGACGAAUCUCAAAAGAUUGUUUCUUUUCUUCAACAACUACAAAUAAAUGAAAAGAUGCUUGAUUAAACUUGUACUUGAAUCUAUGAACUAAAAAAAUGGUCAAAAUCAAAUUAAAAAAAAAAAUAUAAGAGAAUUUCAAUUUUUAAAAGUCUAUAAAUAAAGAAUUUUUUUAAAAUAUAUAUCUUAAUUAAUGCAUGCCAUGUGGUCCAACCUCUAAGAGAAAAAGACUUCAUGUAGGAUUUUUGGCAUAUAUAAAUGCACAUACACAAAUGUAUAUACAUGUGUACAUAUACAUGUGCAUAUUAAAUUAAAGGAGUUUAAAGAUAUUUAUAACCAGAUAAUUUCUAUAAGAUUACUUCCCUACAUCAACCAUGCAUAUUUUUAAGAGCAUAUUUUUACACUUUCUCCACAUAUGAUUUAAAACAAUCAUUUUUUAUUUUUUUGGAAAAUGUAUAUUUUGAUUGCAAAUCUAAUUUACUAAUUGUAAAACAUUUAAUUAUUAAGUGAAUCAACAGAAUCAUUAGAAUUUUUUUUUUCUGAUUUUAACCAAAAUCAAUUUUUUGGACACUCGUAAAGUAGAAAGAAAUUUCAUUACCUUCAAAACUAUCCUUUGGAUAUUCAUUGGGCCCAUGAAUAACAUUGCUCAAGAGGAUUGCCUGAUCUUUGCAUUCUUCUACCUUCCAAACCUUAUAUUUUAAAGCGUAAGGAUUAACAUCACUCUAGCUUUUAAGCAUAGGCAAUGAAAAACGCCCUGCACUUUCACCAAGAGGACCUUGGCAACGCCAUGCUUCACAUCUAGGCCUAGUCUUUGUUGUUUCUUUCUUGUUUCAUCCUUGUGAUCCUGUUAGUUGUAAUUUUUAUUCGAGUCAAUAUAUUGAGCUCCUAAUGGCUCUUGCCUUUAAGGGAAAAAUAAGGCUUCAUUUCACAUAGAUUUAUUUGAAGACUUACAUCAAAUCGAUCCAUGGGAGUAUGAGUCUAAAUUGCUAAAGCUGCUUCCAAGAUUAUAAACUAGAUUACAAACUAAAAAAGAAACAUAAACUAAUUAAAGAAAAAACAUGCAAAACACUUUCGUUAAUAGAGGACUCAAAUUCUACAUUCUUAACCUUUCAAUAACUCCUUCUAUAGGGGAGUCCGAGCUGGAACUCAAACCUCCUAAUAAUUACUUACCAUAUUUAUUAGUCACAAUUUAAAUUUUUCAAAGGAAUCCUUCAGCUUUUAUAGGAUCAACUUUUUUUUAGAAUCUUGUUCAGGUUUUAUCGAGAAUCUUGUUAAACUUUUUUAGAAAAUUUUGUUCAAGUUUUGCAAGGAAUCUUAUUAAGCUUUUUUAAAUAAUCUUGUUCAAGUUUGGCGGAAUCUUAUUCGACUUUCACAAAGAAUUCAGUUUUUAUAAGGAAUCUUUCAACUUUUACAAUAAAUUUUAUUCAGCUUUUGCAAGGAAUUUUCAUCAUUUUUUUUAAGAAAUCCUAUUUAGUUUUUCAUUAGAGUAUGGGUUUCUUAGGUGGUCCCCUUCAAAAUCUUCCUAGUCAUCCCAGUCAUCAAAAUCCUCAUUAUCAUAAUAGCAACGAAUGGAUCAUGUCUAUAAUUGAAUAAGCGCUCUAUGAAUAUCAUAGUCAUAAAAUGUGGUUAACUAGCAAAAUUUAUUUUAUUAAUUGUCUUUUAAAGACUAGAUUUUUAUGAGCUUCCUUUUGAUACUUUGGCAAUGGGGAAAUAAAUUUUCAAUGGGUAAAGAGCAAUGCCCUUUUCAUCUCUAUGGCUAUGAUCCAAUAAGGUCUUACCUUAUUAUUAUUCAUUAAGGCACAAGAUGAAGAUGACCUAGACGCACUUCAAAAUAUUGAUGCUUUUCAUUAAUAAUUCCAUCAAAAUACUAUUAGUCAUCAUGAUAUAAAGAAAAAAGACCAAAAUUAAAUUAAAAAGAUAAGAGUAUUUCAAAAUUUUAGAGUCUAUAACUAGAGACAAAAAAUAAGAAAAAGAAAAACAAAAUGUAUCGUUCACCCGCAUGUGUGUGUCAUAUGGAUUUUGGACAUGUAAGUAAACAUAUGUAUACACACACAUACAUAUAUUUUUAUUGUGAAAAUUGUUAGUAAAAUUUUUAUUUUGAAAAUUAUUGUUCCGAAAGUGCUAAGAAUUUUCACUACCAAAAUUAUUUAUUUGAUUAUUGUUCAUUGGUCGAUUGUUGAGUUGAUUGAAAGUACCUUGAUUUUUCUUUUAAUUAAUUGAUGUUUUGAACUACAAUAUUUGCUGAGUCUUGUAAGGAACACCAUUUUUUAUAUCUAAAUAACUCUCUUGAAUCAAUAACAUACGUUUAAAUUCUCCUAUCCUAAGUUCAAAAAUACCUAUAGAAUUUUAAAUUCUCCUACAUCAAUUUCACCAAUACCUCCAGGUUUAGUGCUGAUAGAUGUCACAAAGGAUUCAAUCUCAAGACUUGAACCACUUUGGAUAUGCUUGAUUUGCUCUUCCCAUGGUACCAAAUGGCCAAUUUUUACCAAGUAUCUAGUCAUUAAAAGUGUACCUUGUUUUGUAGAUUGAAGUUGAAUUCGAUGCUGGCUAAUUGAGAGGUGAACAACUUUUCCAAGUAGUCCCAAGCUGCAAACGAGGCUUAAUGGUAAUGAGAAAAUCUAUAAUUCAGAAUUGUCUGAUCAUGCCCUUGCCGUCGCAGAUAGAGGAUUAAUAGUAUUGAAGUAUGGGAGAGUUUUUGACAUGAUCUUCUAAAUCAUACUUCAUUUAUUGUGAGAAUUUGAGAUACCCAUAAUAGAUAACUUGUGUUGAUCAAGCUUAACACUGAGAAAAUGGUCAAGAGGGUUUGAUGGAAGCUAGGGUGGCUAGGCUAAUUGAAUUUCAGCAGCUAGAUUAUCCUAAACAUUGAAGAAGACUGGGAUGUUUGAUCUCUUGUGAAUGAUGCCAUUUUUAAGCUAAUGAAAUUGAAAACUGAAAAAUACAAAAGUUGAAAUAGAAUUAUCUAAAGGAUUGCUAAACUAAUUGAUCCUAAUCCCUGGAAACAAGUCAAUACUCAUCAAGCUUCAACUUGGAAGUUUUCCUGGCCACGGCGAAGUGUGAAGCUCGAGGUCAAAGGUAGGUGGAUGCCGGAGGAAAAAGGGCAAAGUGUGAGGCGUAGGUUGAUGCCGGGCGUUGGCUGUAGUUUCAGCCUGAAACAGAGAAAGGCUAUAGAAAGAAAAAAUGGAAGAGUAACACCUGGGAACAGAGGAAUUAAGACAGUCCACCAAAAAACAGAGGAACCCUUUUUCUUUGACUUUGUAUUCUCGGUUCUGAUAUUUUUUGUUGUACAAUCACUAGAUUUCAAACCAGAUGCAAAGAGAUUUAACUUGAGUAAAUCUCUCCACGUGGAAGCAUGACAACCACUCAAAAUAACCUAACACAGCAUAGGCACAUUAUGUUACACCGGGGGAAGAAGAGCAAAGUGUGAAGCGUCGGUGGAUGCCGGAGGAAGAAGGGCAGAGUGCGAAGCUUGAGAUCAAAGGUAGGUGGAUGACAAAGGGGUAAUUCAAUGGCCUGAGAAAGUAGUACACCCACCCCCUAUCGAUCAUCCCUUCCGGUGGUAGUGAGGGAUGGACCCCAAGAGGAGAAAGACCCAAGACUUUGCGGACAAGGCUGAUUCCACUGCUACGGAUACUGGGAAUUCGGGUAUAGCGGAGUCCCAAGCCACUGAUUCGAAGGCCGAGCCUGUGGAACUCAAUGCAGAAACCCGAAAGAGUCAUUACCCCAAACUGUAAGUGCUGCAUGUUUUCACUUGUGUCAUUUUAUCAGUAUCACCAUUGUUAUGGCCAUGAAUUUUAGUCCUGAAUCUAAUUUAUCGGAAUUUGGAUUCCUGGGGGCGACUGAUCAGUAUGGAAAAUAGGAAAAGCACUCUGAAUGGUUUUCGUGAGCAUCACGGGCUUCCCCGAAGGCAGCGUGAGCAGGGGCGGCUUGGUCAGCAGUGGUGGAGCAUGUAUGUAUUUUUAUCACUGUAUAUAUAGGGAGAGAGGUCUAGUUGUCCCCCCCCCCCACACACAUAUAGAGAGAGAAGUCUAUUUGUCGUAAAAGUGACUGAAAGGGUAUAAUUAUAAAUUUGACAUCAAUCCAACAACAGCUCACAAAGCAUGCCAUUGAUCUCACGGGCUACAUCAGCUCACAAAGCAUGGACCAAACUGGCCACCAUCUAUGUCAAUCAAUCUCGGACAAGAAUUAUGGACCUUAAAGAUUACCUUGCUGAGGUUACAAAAGGCUCAAAAUCUGUCAGAGUAUAUGCAAAUAGUCCAAAUUAUCAAAGAUGAACUGGCCAUCAUUAAUGUUCCUAUUGAUGAAAGUGAUCUUACCAGUAGAGUACUUCGCAACCUUAGUUUAGAUUUCAAAGAAAUAUCUGUUGCCAUACUAUCAAGAGACACAUCAAUAACCUUUGCAGAGCUCCAUAACAGACUUGUGGAACAUGAAGGUUUCCUUAAGCUCGAGGAAAAGCAUUGAGGAAUUCUAUCGCUACUAACUACUCUCAACAUAAUGACAAUUACAAGUUUUGUGGCAAUCAAUUCUUUAAUAAGGACAAUCAUUCUUCUUCUCAGAUCAACAACCAUGUUAUUGGUGCUUAAUCUUUCAGCGCCAAUCAGAAUCGACAUCACCUAAAUAAGAACUAGAAGCCUCAAGUCUUGCCAAUACAAUGAUAAGGCAUGUCAUACAGCAAAGCAAUGCUACAAAAUUUGAAAGCCUCCCAACCCCAUGGCUUAAAUAACUAAAAUUGGUUAAUGAAAUACUGAAGCAUCUCAUCACAUUACUUUCAACCUCAAUAAUCUGUUAAUCCCACUUAGAACAUAAUGAAGGUGAUGAUAUUUUGUUGGGCAACGGUAAGAGCAUUCCUAUAACACACAUAGGUUCUGUUUCUUUAAAAACUCCUUCCAAAAACUGUACCUCAAUUUUCUUCGUAUUCCUUUCAUUAACAAAAACUUAGUAUUCAUUUCUUAACUUUGCAAACACAAUAAUACAUAGUUGAAUUUUUUUCCCAGUUGCUUUGUUGUUAAGGAUAUGAGCACAGGGGCACUACUGAUAUGAGGAACAAACAAGGGAAAUGUCUAUUUGUGGCCUUCAACCUGACCUAUCUGCCAUUAUCACCCCACAAGCUAUGACUGGAAUAAGAAUGUAGAAUCACAACUGGCAUAGACUUGUAAGACAUCCAUCCACCAAAGUCUUUUCUCAUCUUUGUUCUUCCAAACUUUUACUUUUCUCCUCCAAUAUCACAAGCUCUAUGCAUUUUCACUCUUGCUCAUGCAAUAAAAAUCAUAAAUUAUCUUUUGGUGUCUAUUCUUUCUAGCUCCAAACCCCUAAACUUGAUUUAUAUUCUUUCUAGUAAGAGAAUAUGAAUAAGGGAUCAAGUAAAUGGGGAUUAUAUAUAAUCGAUGAAUAGAAAAUACUUGUAGACAAACAAAAUUGGAUUCAAAGGAAAUCAAUAAAUGGAGAGGCUAGGGUUUUUUGAAUCAAGCCAAGGUGUAAUUGAUCGAUUUGAUACAAGCUCUAUUAGAUCUCCCUAUUAAGUGAGCUCAGUUGGAGAAUAAUUCUAUAAAAGCUAUAAUUUGAACACAAUAGCAAUUCAGUAGUCCUACAACUUUGUAUCGAGUUUAUGCGCAAUGAAUGCAGUAACAAGGAAACUUCUCUCUCUUUACAUCUCCAUUUUGGAGCCAAGCUAGCCCACCAAAACUAUUGCCUAGGACACUUAGGACCUCCACAUUAAGCCUUAAGAAGAUUAGAAGGAACUUAGUUGCAUACUACAUGUGUCAUGCACCCCCAAAAUCUAUCUUUAAAUAAACACACACACAAAAAUAAUAAAUAAAUAAAUAAAGGGGGGAAAAAAAAAGAAGGAAAGUUAUGUUGUCAACUUUCACACAAACUAGUUUGAUAUUGCUAAUGACAAUUUGGUGCAUACUUAUUACAAGAGUUGAACUAGAAUGAUCCUCUGAAACUGCAUUCUGAACUCAUUCUAUUGGUUUUUCUUUUUUUCUUUUUUUCUUUUUUCCUUUUUUACCUUAUAAUUUCUGCAGAUACCACCCCCUUAAGAAAUUGAAGGAGUUGAAUAGAAAGAAAGAUAUUGUGUGCCUUAUCUUAUCAUAUCCUCCUAUGAAUUCAGCUAACAAAGAGAGACACAAGAACUGGGUUCGGGAUGUUUUGAAGAUAAAUCACAAACUAAGGGAAAUGGAAACAUUUUCAAGCCAGCAAAAGACGAGUUUUUCAGAGCUAUCUUCUGAAAUCACUACACUGCUGGAUCAUUCACUCGAUGAUAUUGAAGCUUAUGUUCCACCAAUGAUCAUUGAGAAGAUGUGUGAGAAAACUUUGCAAGUAACAGAGCCUGAUGAAAAAUUACGUAAUUUGGCUGUUAAUUUUGCUACUCGCCAAAUUCUAGAAGAAAUAGAAAAUCCUGAGGUCCGGAGGAUCAGGAUUUCAGAAAGAGAUGGGAUCAGAGUAACAUCAGCAGUGAAAGAUCUACCUCAGAUACGAAAAAGGUUUAAUAUCAUCAUUCAGGUUGAUGCCUCAUCAUAUCCAAAUAUUAAAGGCAUUGAAGAGAAUAUCGCAACACAAUUAGGCUUCUCAUUGGACAUUUGGGUGUUAAAUAGCAUCUUGAAAAACACCAGUUUCUUAAUCUUUCUGGAUGACCUUUAUGAAAGGAUCGAUCUGUAUGAAGUGGGAAGAAAGUGGUGGAACUCAAAGAACAUUCAAAAGAUAGUUUGUUCGACUGGAUCCCAUGAAGUUCAUCAAAGAAUGGCAGUGGAUCGACAGAUCAGGUUGGAGGAUCAUCUGUUAUCUUGGGAAUUAUUUUGUUUGAAUGUUGGCAAAAUUGUGCAUUCUUCAAGUUUCCAACACAGAGCCAUUGAUGUGGUUCAAAAGUGUUCUGGCCAUUUACUUGCUGUUGCUCUAAUGGCAAGAGCUUUGAAAAUGGUCUUCGAUGUCAGCAUCUGGGAACAUGCAUCUUAUAUACUAAGCUUGUCUCACAGAUCUCAGUCGAAAGACACAGUUUUGUAUAAUGCAUUAGCUUUCAUUCUGGGGCGUUCAGGUUCAGCAGAUAAAUGUGUAAACUACUGUGCAUUUUACAUGGAGAGGGAAGGAGUGGACAAAGUUGAUUUGAUUCAGGAGUGGAUCAGACAUGCCUUAAUCAGCACAUUUGAUGAAGGAGAAAAAAUUGUUCACGAUCUUGUCAGUGCCUUCUUGUUAGAGAGUUUUCAGAAUGGAUAUUUUGUCCAAAUGCGGGAUGAAAUCCGUGAGGUGUUAGUAAAUUCACAAUUUCUUUUGCAAGGUGGAAAGGGUCUUACUAAGGCACCAAAAGAUGAGGCAUGGGAGGAAGCCAGUGAAAUCCAUUUGAUGAAUAAUAAAUUUUCUGAGCUGCCAAAGAGUCCAAAUUGUCCCCAACUCUGUGCAUUGUUCUUACAAAAGAACCCUUCUUUGCGAGUUAUUCCUCCACUUUUCUUUCAACAUAUGCCUAUACUCCAAAUCCUAGACUUGUCACAUACUAAAAUAAGAUCAUUACCUCAAUCUCUUUAUGGGUUGGCACAACUGCAAAGACUCUUUUUGAGAGGCUGUAAACUCUUCAUGGAGCUGCCACCUGAAGUCGGAAAACUCAGUAAUCUUAAGGUGCUUGAUCUUGAGGGGACUGAAAUUGUAAGGCUACCUGUGGAUGUUGGAAAAUUGACAAAUUUAACUUGCUUGAAAAUGUCAUUUUG
RNAcentral lists this long non-coding RNA (16750 nucleotides) under Vitis vinifera (wine grape). Its description in RNAcentral is "long non-coding RNA (VVIN_LNC003967)". Lineage: Eukaryota; Viridiplantae; Streptophyta; Magnoliopsida; Vitales; Vitaceae. The record is from RNAcentral.